Molecule: ribosomal RNA, 387 nt
Filed under: uncultured Peptoniphilus sp.
Lineage: Bacteria; Bacillati; Bacillota; Tissierellia; Tissierellales; Peptoniphilaceae
Description: bacterial SSU rRNA
Rfam family: Bacterial small subunit ribosomal RNA
Source: RNAcentral
GGGGCGAAGAUAAGGCGGAUUAGCGGCGGACGGGUGAGUAACACGUGAGUAACCUGCCUUUUACACAGGGAUAGCCUCGGGAAACCGGGAUUAAAACCUGAUGAAACUAUCAAAUCACAUGAUUAAGAAAGUUAAAACUCCGGUGGUAAAAGAUGCACUCGCGUCCCAUUAGCUAGUUGGUGAAGGUAACGGCCCACCAAGGCAACGAUCGGUAGCCGGCCUGAGAGGGUGAACGGCCACAUUGGAACUGAGAAACGGUCCAAACUCCUACGGGAGGCAGCAGUGGGGAAUAUUGCCCAAUGGGGGAGACCCUGAUGCAGCGACGCCGCGUGAGGGAAGAAGGCCUUCGGGUCGUAAAGCUCUUUUAUAUGGGAAGAUAAUGACGGU